This 322-nucleotide unclassified non-coding RNA is filed under the name Hevea brasiliensis (rubber tree). Lineage: Eukaryota; Viridiplantae; Streptophyta; Magnoliopsida; Malpighiales; Euphorbiaceae. The record is from RNAcentral.
AGAAGAAGCUGCCCUUAAAGCUGGGAUACUUAAGCAUGGACCAGGUAAAUGGCGAACGAUUCUCAAGGAUCCAGAAUUUAGUGGAGUAUUGUGUUUGCGUUCAAAUGUAGAUCUCAAGGACAAGUGGAGGAACAUGACUGUAAUGGCAAAUGGCUGGGGUUCUCGAGAGCAAGCAAGAUUGGCUGUCAAAAAGAUGAGACAGGCCCCUAAGCAGGAUGGGAGUCCUUUGACUGAUACUACUGCUGCUGAUAGUGAUGAGGAAGCAGCUGAAACAAGGACUGUCACAACUUCUAGUGGUUCUCCUCAGACACAUGGUUCAAAA